UUAUUUAUAUAGUUUUGUAAUUGUUAUUCAUAUUUUUCAAAAAAUUAUUUAGAAAUUAUUGCUUAUGUCAUCGCUCGUUUAUUCUUUGAUUUUCGCAAAAAUAUAUACAGUUAACAUUUUAUAAUAGUUGUAUUUUUAAAGCCGGCAAUCCCCCUUUAUCUUGAUGAUGGACUUCUUAUCCCAAAAACAACUUAACUCUUAUGAGGGCAUCAUCGAUAAAAUUCAACAAGAACAUGAAAAAUCCCAAAAGCUUCAGCAAGAAAUCAACAGAAUAAAUAAUAUCCUUGCCCUAACUAACCUCUCAAACCUUAAACUGACCCAAAAACUUGGCCACAUUAAUGUGAAAAUAUUCAGUAAUCUUCUCGACUUAUAUAUUUUAUAUCAGAAUGAGUUGAAAGCAGAUAUAUCAAGCUUUUUAAAGCAUGAAAAUUGUAAGUUUUAUUUGGUUGAGCUGCUUAUAACAAAUGCCUUGCAUCAAAAGUUGAAAGACAUUGAAUGGUCCCUCUUUUUAUCUGUUAGAUAUGAUGGUACUUGUACCAGUAAAACCAUUAAGAUGGUGGAAUAUGAACCGCCUUACUUGGAAGUUUUACCAGUUAAUAAUAACAUUAUAGACUGUCAAGUAUCAGCUGCUAUUAUUUUGCUAUCUAGAGAAGGUCUAACCCAUGUUCCGUUGGAUUCUGUGACCACCGAUAUAUCAUAUCAUUUUGAAAAUGUCAAAAAAUCCAAACAAUUGACUACAGACAGAAAAAUAUUGGAAAUAACUAAGGCUCACAAUCCUGACCUAAACAUAAAUGAAUUAAAAAAGCCUUUAUUGGUAGAGUACAGUUUCCAUUCAAAAAAAGACAACCAUGACUUUAUAAAGCAUUUCAUUCAACAUUGCUACCAUAAGUUGGAUUUAGAGCUGUUUUCUGAACUAGGAAGUGAUUCUACUAACAGUUUUGUGGUAAAGUUUGCCACCGGGUCUGCAAAAAGCUCUGUAACAUUUAACAAAGAGACUCAAGUGGUCACUUUAAGGAGCAAUUUGAGUGACAUGGUUCGUUUAAAGAAUUUCUUUUGGAACGAGGAAACUUUUGAAAUAAGGGAUUUCGAACGAGUGAAGGCUUACUUAAAGGAGUUAUUAGCAAAGUUGGGUCAGUGCAGUACAAGAGACGAGUUGUGCAACUUCUAUAUUGCUGUAAGGAAUAUUUGGACCAAAUAGAUGAUCAACCUUUUGGCUGCACAGUUGGUUGCUGGGGAAUCAGAGCAGUUUAUUAUUUGUAUCUGCCACCCUGACAAUCAACGAAAUAUCCGGACCAGACUACAUCGAAGUGGGUUCCCAAGAUGAACUGGUGCUCGACUGUGAUUUCACCGCGGAAAACGAGGAAGACGUGGUACUAAAAUGGUUCUUCAAUGGUCUGGAGCAGCAG
RNAcentral lists this unclassified non-coding RNA (1406 nucleotides) under Anthonomus grandis grandis. Its description in RNAcentral is "uncharacterized LOC126748475". The record is from RNAcentral. Lineage: Eukaryota; Metazoa; Arthropoda; Insecta; Coleoptera; Curculionidae.